CACUUAGCACGAAAGCGUGGGAGCAAAUAGGAUUAGAUACCCUAGUAGUCCACGCCGUAAACGAUGAGAACUAGGUGUUGGGGGAAUAACUCAGUGCCGCAGUUAACGCAGUAAGUUCUCCGCCUGGGGAGUAUGCACGCAAGUGUGAAACUCAAAGGAAUUGACGGGGGCCCGCACAAGCGGUGGAGUAUGUGGUUUAAUUCGAAGCAACGCGAAGAACCUUACCAGGCCUUGACAUCCCUUGCAGAGGUAUAGAGAUAUAUCCGAGGUUAUCAAGGAGACAGGUGGUGCGUGGUUGUCGUCAGCUCGUGUCGUGAGAUGUUGGGUUAAGUCCCGCAACGAGCGCAACCCUUGUGAUAUGUUACUAACAUUGAGUUGAGGACUCAUAUCAGACUGCCGGUGACAAACCGGAGGAAGGUGGGGAUGACGUCAAAUCAUCAUGCCCCUUAUGGCCUGGGCUACACACGUACUACAAUGGCGUCUACAAAGAGCGGCAAGCCUGUGAAGGCAAGCGAAUCUCAUAAAGGACGUCUCAGUUCGGAUUGAAGUCUGCAACCCGACUUCAUGAAGCUGGAAUCGCUAGUAAUCGCGAAUCAGCAUGUCGCGGUGAAUACGUUCUCGGGCCUUGUACACACCGCCCGUCAAACCAUGGGAGUUGGUAAUGCCCGAAGCCGGUGGCAUAACCCUUCGGGGAGUGAGCCGUCGAAGGCAGGACCGAUGACUGGGGUUAAGUCGUAACAAGGUAACC
This 748-nucleotide ribosomal RNA is filed under the name uncultured Bacillota bacterium. RNAcentral describes it as "bacterial SSU rRNA". It matches the Rfam family "Bacterial small subunit ribosomal RNA", at positions 744 to 1501 of the family's 1533-position model. The record is from RNAcentral. Lineage: Bacteria; Bacillati; Bacillota.